RNAcentral lists this ribosomal RNA (497 nucleotides) under uncultured bacterium. RNAcentral's name for it is "partial 16S ribosomal RNA". It matches the Rfam family "Bacterial small subunit ribosomal RNA", at positions 28 to 507 of the family's 1533-position model. The record is from RNAcentral.
GAUGAACGCUGGCGGCGUGCCUAAUACAUGCUAGUCGAGCGAACAGAUAAGGAGCUUGCUCCUUUGACGUUAGCGGCGGACGGGUGAGUAACACGUGGGUAACCUACCUAUAAGACUGGAAUAACUCCGGGAAACCGGGGCUAAUGCCGGAUAACAUUUAGAACCGCAUGGUUCUAAAGUGAAAGAUGGUUUUGCUAUCACUUAUAGAUGGACCCGCGCCGUAUUAGCUAGUUGGUAAGGUAACGGCUUACCAAGGCAACGAUGCGUAGCCGACCUGAGAGGGGGAUCGGCCACACUAGAGCUGAGACACGGACCAGACUCCUGAGGGAGGCAGCAGUAGGGAAUGGUCCGCAAUGGGCGAAAGCCUGACGGAGCGACGCAGCGUGAGUGAUGGAGGUCUUCGGAUCGUAAAACUCUGUUAUUAGGGAAGAACAAAUGUGUAAGUAACUGUGCACGUCUUGACGGUACCUAAUCAGAAAGCCACGGCUAACUACGUG